Molecule: long non-coding RNA, 5741 nt
Filed under: Zea mays
Lineage: Eukaryota; Viridiplantae; Streptophyta; Magnoliopsida; Poales; Poaceae
Description: long non-coding RNA (ZMAY_LNC004393)
Source: RNAcentral
GCUACUCCUUUUAUUUUGUUUUAAUAAAUGAAUUGAUAGAUAUGUAGGUUGCGACAAUUUUUAUUAAUUUAGCAUACAUAUAUUGUGAUGUUCGAUUUAGAUAAAUAGGUAAAUCAAGUAAUUAAGAUACAUAGUUUAAAGAGUUAAUCAAAAAACUAGGAAUAAAAAAUAGAUUUUCUAGUGUAACAUGUCAAUUUGGUUAAUGAAUAUAGUCGAUGCCCUGCUGUGAUAUCCAUGGUGCUUAAUGCUUGAUUUUAAGUGUUUCAUCCUUUUUAGUGUAGAUUAUCUAAAUUAUACUCGUAUACUCGUGCUCAUACAUGUGCAUCGUGCAUCUCAUGAGGUACGAUAAAUAAUCGCGUGAUGCGGAAAAGAGUCAAGUCAACCCCAAGCGCGUGCUAAUCCGCAAGAUGAUAUUGAUGAAUUAACCUGAAGAUGGAUGGACGAAGCAAGUAUUGGAACAAAGACUGAUCGUCAAGUGAUCGACGUCUAACAAACACUAACCUAGUGUUACCCAGGCAAGCCCCGGUGCAUUUACCCCUUCCUUGUGUUUUUAAAUUAUUUUACACACUUUAAGUCUAGUGAAAUGUGCAUUAGGUUUAUAGGAGUUGCUUGGAACCCUUUGAUGCAUUGCCUUCCUUGAAAUCCAUACCUUUUAUAGAUACUUCUGGUGAAGUAUCAAAAUAUGAUUUACAAAAAAAUGCUUAGCCCUGCUUAUAGGCAGAUAGAGUUUGUCCUUUGCACUUAUGCCUAGCUCAGGUUGAUCCUGAGGAAGGAUGACUUCUACCUGCAAGAAUAUUUUCAUUGUGAGCAUGGUGGGAUCUUACUGCAAAGUUCCCUAUAAUGAUCUUUUCAUCCUAAGGAACACAAACAAUCCUAAGGGUGGAAGUACUUAAAUCGGGACUUGGGCUAGGAACAGGUGAUGUUCCGUCCGGGUCAAUUAAGGAUUGGAUGCGUAUGUAGGCCUGAUAGAUCAAGGACUAUCUUAACUGGCCACAUGCCCUGGAAAUGGGACAGGGUAAGCUUGAACCCGGCUAUUCCAUACGUGAAAAGACAACCGCGCACUGGGCGUGGGAGAUGGUGGGAGUAGCGUGUGCCCUCCUGGCUAGAGGCUGGAUGGAGGAGUACUGUGCUCCCGGGUAGCGCGGACCGGUUCACGUUGUGGAGGAUCUGUGGGAACGGUUGACAUAUGCAAGGGUUAAGUGCUACAUAUGUCGUGUGGUUAGAGAUCCUCAGCUGAGUAAAUCGAUUCGGAUCGCCGUUAUAUCCCCGGAGAGUGGAGACUUGAUCACUGACCUGCAACCUAAGUCAGGAUGUGAACCUCAUGAAUAAAAAUGAUGUUGUAUUGAUGAGAUGGUGAAAUUAGACCAGAUGCAAACAGAGUCUAUUAAUAUUUAAUCUGGCGUUAAAAUAUUGAAAGAAAGGACUCACUUUAGUAAGCUCUUUCUGCAAAAGUAUCUAAGUUGAUUCUUGCUAAAGCCUCUCCUUGAUUCCCAAAUCCAGCAUAUCCUUGAGAGUCUUUUCUUUAGUCGGGUAAGACUUGCUGAGUAAUUCCAUACUCAGGGUUUUAUUCCCUGUUGUUUUUCAGGUUUAGUUUUGUGCUGCUGAUGAUGGUGUUUAAGUGCCGGUGGGCUCGGCCUUCUUAUAAGUCUAAGUACUUCUUCUAUACUUCUUAAUGAGGAUGGUCACUUGAGCUAGCAUACAUUUCAAACUUAUAAUUUUGUAAUCACUCCGAUAAAAUAAUGUAAAAUUUUUGUAACCUGUAAAAUUUGGUAGUAAGAUUUCCGCUGCAACAAUAUUGGUGUGUGUGAUUUGUGUUACUUAAUCCCGCGGUUCUGGUUGAAAGUGGUUUAUCCGAUGUCCUUGGGGCAAUCGGACAGAUCCUGUUGAGUUAUCUGGUGCACAUGCAUGGUCGUUUGAGGUCUUUGGGACAAGGACGGGUGCAUGUGGGCCCAAUAACUUGGAGGUUCUGCCACACCUGCUCCUGGUCCUCCUCUUGGACAGGUCCUUGCUCGGGGAUGAGCACGUACUCUCCGUCGGCAAGAUUACAAUCUAAUGAAUGCAAUGCGUAAGAUAUAUGCAUGAUAUGAUAUGUGCUUUUAGAAAUUACAACUUUAAAGGUGUAUGAUCUUUCUUGAGUUAAACAAGGUUAACUUUACUUAUGUAAGACCCUUGGGUGGUAUACUUGGUAAAUUGGGUUAAACUUAGUUAAGGUAAGUAAAUUAAAUUUUGGGGUUCCACCGAGUUCCUGUUAAGUCUUAGUGAGAAUUGAUAAGUACUCAAGUUAGAUUUAUUGAGGUGGGGUUUAUUUCUUCUUCCCUUUUCUUUUAUUCUCUUUAUUGUUUUGGAGUAGGUUUGAACUACAAGUUGCUUUUAUAAAAUUCUAAAAAUUCUGUAAACAUUACAGUGGCUUGUUACUGGUGUGUGUUUCUCUGUCUCAAAUUUUGGGGAUCAGAAAGUGAAUAGUUUUCUCUGGACAAAAUUAUUAAAUUCUAGGGCAGAAGGGGUGAUUUGAACUACAACUAUUAUUUAACAGUGGGUCAUCCUUCAAAACUCAUUUUUGCUGGCUUUUAGGUGUUAUAACAUGGCUUGAUAUAAAUUUCUAAUCAUUAAUACCUUUUAAUUAUUUUUCUAUGGCUUUCUCAUGUUUCUAGCCCAAUGGGUGCUUUCUAGUACUACUAUAUUUGAUAAGCAUCAAACAACAGAGUUCUUAUUUUUCUUAGUUAUUAUUUUGUGCAAGAGCAAUCAUUCUGAAGUUUGGCAUCUUUUUGCUUAAGGGAAGGGGUGGUAUGCAUUAUUUGAAUUAAGUAGUCUUUCUCUUAAAUCCUUAGCAAUUGGUAUGAGUUUGCUUCUUUUUUAUGGGUUGGCAUUUUUCUCUGGUGGUUUAUCUCAUUACGAACUUAGCUAAUUUUUGGUUGCCCAUUAUCAUAUUAUUUGGGGUUGUUCAUGAUUUAUUUGGAAAAUGCCUUAUUAUCACUUUGCAUUUAAUUUCCUUACUUAAAAAGUUGGGCUGAGGUGCUCUGUAUUUUUGUAGUGGGGCUCUGGUGUUUGUAAGUCCACUGGAUUUUUAUUAUUCAUUUUGGUGAUAGCUUUGCCUCUUUAAUAAUUGAUUUUCAGUCUACAUAAGGCUAAAUGAAUCCUUUUAAUUUAAAACUGGUCCAAAGUAAUGGUCUCUGUAUUUUUCCUAGAUUCUCUGUUACAUAAGUAAACUAGGAAAAAUAAUCUUAAUCACUGUUCAUUAAUUCUAAUGCCCUUCUGAUUUUUCCUAAGUUUUAGGCAAAAUUGCUUUAAAUGAAUAACUACAUCAUAAUUUCUAAUGCUGGGGUUCCUACUAUUUUUAAACAGUGUCUAAAUAAGGUUUGAACAUCUACAAAUUUUCUUAAGUUCAGCACAGAAGAAAAACUAAUUUUCCUUAAUUAAACAAGGUUUGGUGGGUUUCUGUUUUUAAAUUCAAACUCUAAAAUUUAGAACAAAAAGCAUAGGGUUUAUUAUUUUUAAAUGAUAGUUCAUAAUAUUCAAGAGCUAGCAAAAUUGGUUUGACAACUUUUUAUGAAGAAUUCAUCAAGUUAUGGGUUUCCUAAGUUCUCUGGUCAUUUAAAAAGAAUAACAGAAUUGGUUUAAAUGGAAAUCCACUUUGCACUGGGGUCCCUGGCGGGUUUUUAAGUUUUCUUCGCGGAUCAGUCCUUAGGCUACUAUUCACAUGAGUCACUGACGUUGCAGAAAACCCCUCGGGUUCUACAAAUCCUAACCCGAGGUCCUUCUUCUACCUUAAACAGUAACCGCGGCGGAAGAAAGGGCGAAGGGGCUUACCGGCGGCGAGAUUGCUCCGGUGAAGUGGUCUAGGACGAAGGGGAGGUCUCGGGGAUCACAACGGUGUGCGGGACGCCGUCGGAGAUGGCCGGAGUCGGUCGGUCCACGCGCGCAGGCGGGGAUGCUCGUCGGCGGCGAGGAGACCGGCCUGGUCACGGCGAGAUAGUUCAAUCAGAUGGGUCAGGGAGGUCCACGGGAUGCCAGAGAAGACAUGAGCGCAAGGAAUUGGGCGGAGACUCACUGGAUAGCUCGGUCCACACGCGGCGGCGGAAGACCGAAGUCCGGUGAGGUCGAUCUCGGGCCUCCGGUGAAGUCCGGUCGAGUCCGAGGGCUUGGCAAGCUUCACGGGCUACUGGCGGAGCUAGCCGAAGCACUGGCUUGCCCAGAGGAUGGCUGGAGUGGGCUGGCCACGAUGGCCGAAGCUCUGGCGGCAAUGGCGGGCGGAAUUGAGCUCGCCGGAGCUGAGGGAAAGUGGCUGGCCGGUGUGGGUGAGUGCGGGGCGAAGUGGGGCGCGCCUGGGAAGGCUUUAUAGGCGCGGCGCGGUGCACGGGCGGUCGUGGACUGGCGAGUGCGCGCGGGCGUGCACUGGGAGGCGCGGUGCGCGAACAGGCGUGAACCGGGGGUGUCAGCCACGGUCGAACACGUGUUCCCGUUGCCUCUGCCCCUGUUCAAGCGCCGAUUGGGAGCAAAUCUUCACGAAUUUGGGCAAGAUCGCUGUGAAGGAUUUGUUCACCUGACCAAGCUUUGUCUUUUGUGUAUGGACAUCGCGCGGUUUUAGGCUAGGGACAGGGAGUUGUAGCGUCACCAAGGUGCCAGUGUCAGAAUGCCUGGUCCCGAGGUCAAGCUGCGCCAAAACCAUGCCAAAUGAAUUUGGUUUGAGUUCAAAUUUUUCCAGGAUGUGUUCAAGGGAAUUUGGCACGACUUUGAUAUUUGGAUCUCCUGGCUUUGAGUUUUGAAAAGCAGAGAACGCAGAUGAUCUUUGGGAAGAGGUCUGAAAUUCAGAAAUUCAGAAAUCUGAAUUUCUCUAAGGGUUCAUAGAUCAAGGGCUGAUUUGGGGAUUUAUUUGAGUUAUUUUGGCUAAGCUUUCUCAACCUUUCUUGUUGCUCAAUAAAUAUACUUUAACUUAUAUAAUUGGCUCAAGUCAAAAUUUUAAACUUUUCAUUCCCUUUCUCUUAUUUUCUUGAAUUUUGCUCAUAGGGCUCACUUAGAGUUUUUAUUAGGGUUGCACAUUCUUACCUUUUUAAAAGACUCAAUUGUUUUGAUCAUGACACUUUUAAGUAUAUAUACUUGGUGAAUUCUUUAUUACUUAAGUUAAUUUGAUGCUCAUGCUUACUUUGGUUCACAUGAAAUAAUGGUUCUUGGUUUGGCAUUUGAGAGAAACCCUAGGUGACACUGGGGUGUCACAUGCACUACGGUGGCACCAUUGCCGGUGACCCACGAUUUGGCGCCUCGGUGCGAAUUACUCAGAUGGAAUCGGUGCUACGCGCAGAGGAAACAAAACCGAAUCACUAGGAUAGCUUCUUACCAGAGGCGGAGACCAGGGCAGGGCCAGUCACGACGCAGGGCGAAGCAGCGGCAAGGAUGGUACUCCGGCGAGGAAUUAUCGCCGCCACGGAGGUGCCCGAGGGAAACCAACAGCACCACACGAUUCCAGUGGUCGGGCCGAGCACAAGAACCAAAUCCCAGGGCUAGACGAACGGGUAUUGAAGCCUGUCCUCGCGGCGGCGGAAGGCUCCCAGUUUUCCCCUGCGGUUUGUGGUGAUCAACGGAUUCGCGUGAAGGUAGGUGGGAGGAGGCGGACGCGCCCGGAUCUUUAUACUCAGAUCGAGGGGCAAAUCACCACCCAAACCCCCGGUCAAAUCGUUGGUUGGUUUACAACCAUCCGCCCGCCAUGCGCGCAGGAACCAGGGAGGAGGAGCACGAGGACUUACGCG